This 425-nucleotide ribosomal RNA is filed under the name uncultured bacterium. RNAcentral's name for it is "partial 16S ribosomal RNA". It matches the Rfam family "Bacterial small subunit ribosomal RNA", at positions 354 to 796 of the family's 1533-position model. The record is from RNAcentral.
GUGGGGAAUCUUGCGCAAUGGGCGAAAGCCUGACGCAGCCAUGCCGCGUGAAUGAUGAAGGUCUUAGGAUUGUAAAAUCCUUUCACCGGUGAAGAUAAUGACUGUAGCCGGAGAAGAAGCCCCGGCUAACUUCGUGCCAGCAGCCGCGGUAAUACGAAGGGGGCUAGCGUUGCUCGGAUUUACUGGGCGUAAAGGGCGCGUAGGCGGACAUUUAAGUCAGGGGUGAAAUCCCGGGGCUCAACCUCGGAACUGCCUUUGAUACUGGGUGUCUUGAGUAUGAGAGAGGUGUGUGGAACUCCGAGUGUAGAGGUGAAAUUCGUAGAUAUUCGGAAGAACACCAGUGGCGAAGGCGACACACUGGCUCAUUACUGACGCUGAGGCGCGAAAGCGUGGGGAGCAAACAGGAUUAGAAACCCCUGUAGUCC